This 454-nucleotide ribosomal RNA is filed under the name uncultured bacterium. RNAcentral's name for it is "partial 16S ribosomal RNA". It matches the Rfam family "Bacterial small subunit ribosomal RNA", at positions 28 to 507 of the family's 1533-position model. The record is from RNAcentral.
GAUGAACGCUGACCGAAUGCUUAACACAUGCAAGUCAACUUGAACUUCGGUUUGGGUGGCGGACGGGUGAGUAACGCGUAAAGAACUUGCCUCACAGCUAGGGACAACAUUUGGAAACGAAUGCUAAUACCUGAUAUUAUGAUUAUAUGGCAUCGUAUAAUUAUGAAAGCUAUAUGCGCUGUGAGAGAGCUUUGCGUCCCAUUAGCUAGUUGGAGAGGUAACAGCUCACCAAGGCGAUGAUGGGUAGCCGGCCUGAGAGGGUGAUCGGCCACAAGGGGACUGAGACACGGCCCUUACUCCUACGGGAGGCAGCAGUGGGGAAUAUUGGACAAGGGACCGAGAGUCUGAUCCAGCAAUUCUGUGUGCACGAUGAAGUUUUUCGGAAUGUAAAGUGCUUUCAGUCGGGAAGAAAAAAAUGACGGUACCAACAGAAGAAGAGACGGCUAAAUACGUG